AUUGAACGCUGGCGGCAGGCCUAACACAUGCAAGUCGAACGAGUGGCGGACGGGUGAGUAAUGUCUGGGAAACUGCCCGAUGGAGGGGGAUAACUAAUGGAAACGGUAGCUAAUACCGCAUACCAUCGGAUGUGCCCAGAUGGGCUUAGCGAGUAGGUGGGGUAACGGCUAACCUAGGCGACGAUCCCUACCUGGUCUGAGAGGAUGACCAGCCAGACUGGGACGGAGACACGGUCCAGACUCCUACGGGAGGCAGCAGUGGGGAAUAUUCUGCAAUGGGCGCAAGCCUGACGGAGCAAUGCCGCGUGAAUGAAGAAGGCCUUCGGGUUGUAAAGUUCUUUCAGUGGAGAGGCGUUACUCACAGAAGAAGCACCGGCUAACUCCGUGCCAGCAGCCGCGGUAAUAC
RNAcentral lists this ribosomal RNA (406 nucleotides) under uncultured bacterium. RNAcentral's name for it is "partial 16S ribosomal RNA". It matches the Rfam family "Bacterial small subunit ribosomal RNA", at positions 30 to 526 of the family's 1533-position model. The record is from RNAcentral.